UUGACCUCGGAUCAGGUAGGGAUACCCGCUGAACUUAAGCAUAUCAAUAAGCGGAGGAAAAGAAACCAACUGGGAUUGCCCUAGUAACGGCGAGUGAAGCGGCAAUAGCUCAAAUUUGAAAUC
RNAcentral lists this ribosomal RNA (123 nucleotides) under Stagonospora pseudopaludosa. Its description in RNAcentral is "partial 28S ribosomal RNA". It matches the Rfam family "Eukaryotic large subunit ribosomal RNA", at positions 1 to 122 of the family's 3401-position model. Lineage: Eukaryota; Fungi; Ascomycota; Dothideomycetes; Pleosporales; Massarinaceae. The record is from RNAcentral.